RNAcentral lists this ribosomal RNA (741 nucleotides) under Priestia megaterium. RNAcentral describes it as "bacterial SSU rRNA". It matches the Rfam family "Bacterial small subunit ribosomal RNA", at positions 54 to 776 of the family's 1533-position model. Lineage: Bacteria; Bacillati; Bacillota; Bacilli; Caryophanales; Bacillaceae. The record is from RNAcentral.
CAUGCAAGUCGAGCGAACUGAUUAGAAGCUUGCUUCUAUGACGUUAGCGGCGGACGGGUGAGUAACACGUGGGCAACCUGCCUGUAAGACUGGGAUAACUUCGGGAAACCGAAGCUAAUACCGGAUAGGAUCUUCUCCUUCAUGGGAGAUGAUUGAAAGAUGGUUUCGGCUAUCACUUACAGAUGGGCCCGCGGUGCAUUAGCUAGUUGGUGAGGUAACGGCUCACCAAGGCAACGAUGCAUAGCCGACCUGAGAGGGUGAUCGGCCACACUGGGACUGAGACACGGCCCAGACUCCUACGGGAGGCAGCAGUAGGGAAUCUUCCGCAAUGGACGAAAGUCUGACGGAGCAACGCCGCGUGAGUGAUGAAGGCUUUCGGGUCGUAAAACUCUGUUGUUAGGGAAGAACAAGUACGAGAGUAACUGCUUGUACCUUGACGGUACCUAACCAGAAAGCCACGGCUAACUACGUGCCAGCAGCCGCGGUAAUACGUAGGUGGCAAGCGUUAUCCGGAAUUAUUGGGCGUAAAGCGCGCGCAGGCGGUUUCUUAAGUCUGAUGUGAAAGCCCACGGCUCAACCGUGGAGGGUCAUUGGAAACUGGGGAACUUGAGUGCAGAAGAGAAAAGCGGAAUUCCACGUGUAGCGGUGAAAUGCGUAGAGAUGUGGAGGAACACCAGUGGCGAAGGCGGCUUUUUGGUCUGUAACUGACGCUGAGGCGCGAAAGCGUGGGGAGCAAACAGG